CCCCCCCCCCCCCCCCCCCCCCCCCCCCCCCCCCCCCCCCCCCCCCCCCCCCCCCCCCCCCCCCCCCCCCCCCCCCCCCCCCCCCCCCCCGGGGGGGGGGGGAGGUGGCACCGUCCCUGUCCCUGUCCCCAGGGCUCCCAGUGGCUCCCAGUAAGUCCCAGUUCCCAGGAGUGGCCCCGCAGCCCAAAGGGACAGGAGGGGACAGCAGGACACCGCCCCAAAGUCCCCGUGUCCCCUCCAGGGUCCUUGGCACAGCAGGGAGCAGCGGUGGCACCUCCUGGUGUCACCUCAGGUGUUACUGCCUGGUGGCACCUCUGAUGUCACCUCUGGUGUCACCUCCUGGUGUCACCUCAGGUGUUACUGCCUGGUGGCACCUCUGAUGUCACCUCAGGUGUUGCUGCCUGGUGGCAGCUCCUGGUGGCACCUCCAAGGUUCUUCAGUGUCACAUCCCAGGUGUCCCCAGGGUCGUGUUCUUGGUGUCCUCAAUGUCCUCGAUGUCACAUCUCCAGUGUCCCCAGUUCUCCAGUCCCAGUGUUCCCAAUGUCACACCCCUGGUGUCCCCGGUGUCCCGUUCUCAGUGUCCCCAAUGUCACACCCCUGGUGUCCCCGGUGUCCCGUUCUCAGUCUUCUUGGUGUCCCAUUCCUGGUGUCCUUGGUGUCCCAUCCCAGUGUCCCCAAUGUCCCAUCCCAGUGUCCCCAGUUCCCGGUGUCACAAGGUGAAGAUCUCAUCCUUGCUGUCCCCAGUGUCCCCAGUGUCCCCAGUGUCACAAGGUGAAGAUCUCGUCCUCGCUGUCCCCAGUGUCCCCAGUGUCCCCAGUGUCACAAGGUGAAGAUCUCGCCCUCGCUGUCCCCAGUGUCCCCAGUGUCCCCAGUGUCCCCCCCCCCCCCCCCCCCCCCCCCCCCCCCCCCCCCCCCCCCCCCCCCCCCCCCCCCCCCCCCCCCCCCCCCCCCCCCCCCCCCCCCCCCCCCCCCCCC
Molecule: long non-coding RNA, 975 nt
Filed under: Ficedula albicollis (Collared flycatcher)
Lineage: Eukaryota; Metazoa; Chordata; Aves; Passeriformes; Muscicapidae
Description: lncRNA (ENSFALG00000029038.1)
Source: RNAcentral